GGAAUAUUGGACAAUGGGCGCAAGCCUGAUCCAGCCAUGCCGCGUGAGUGAUGAAGGCCUUAGGGUUGUAAAGCUCUUUCAGUGGGGAAGAUAAUGACGGUACCCACAGAAGAAGCCCCGGCUAACUUCGUGCCAGCAGCCGCGGUAAUACGAAGGGGGCUAGCGUUGUUCGGAUUUACUGGGCGUAAAGCGCACGUAGGCGGAUUGGUAAGUUAGAGGUGAAAUCCCAGAGCUCAACUCUGGAACUGCCUUUAAUACUGCCAGUCUAGAGUCCGGAAGAGGUAAGUGGAACUCCUAGUGUAGAGGUGGAAUUCGUAGAUAUUAGGAAGAACACCAGUGGCGAAGGCGGCUUACUGGUCCGGUACUGACGCUGAGGUGCGAAAGCGUGGGGAGCAAACAGGAUUAGAUACCCGGG
Molecule: ribosomal RNA, 415 nt
Filed under: uncultured Devosia sp.
Lineage: Bacteria; Pseudomonadati; Pseudomonadota; Alphaproteobacteria; Hyphomicrobiales; Devosiaceae
Description: bacterial SSU rRNA
Rfam family: Bacterial small subunit ribosomal RNA
Source: RNAcentral